UCCAAACCCUAACACAGCACACCCUUCUGGCU
RNAcentral lists this non-coding RNA (32 nucleotides) under Mus musculus (house mouse). The record is from RNAcentral. Lineage: Eukaryota; Metazoa; Chordata; Mammalia; Rodentia; Muridae.